CAAAAAAAAAGACCACUUCCACCGCACCGGCGCACCACCAAACGACCGGCGUCCUCCCUACGUAAGGGUAGCAGGAUCGUGGGUACGAGGCGGCACCCGGCACCGGCUGCAUAAAGAGCCCCGCCGCUCCACCGCUCUAGGAGGAGUAGCCGAGGAACGAGAGGACGCUCUGGCGGUGUCGAGUAGCAUCAACGGCGACGCGGGUCCAGUAGAGGGGGCGUCGGUCGCGACGGCCUAACUACCGGCUCAGUUCCGUCAAGGUAGUAGACUAGAAGGAGCACCACGAUACUGGUGUUAGUCGUGUGGUGCAUGUCGGAGUGGCCUCUCUGCUGUGAUGGUAGUCUUGAUCCUCAUCAUUCUCCUCGGGGGGAACGAUGUACCUCUUGUUGUCAACUUCUUCUUGUAGAAUUUUAGGAGUGUUCGAAGUCCCAGAAGACGAGUAGAGAAACAUCCAUCCAACGUUUAUCCUAGAUAUUAGAAACAGGUGUUAAAAGUCUACUAAAAUGGAUGGAGGUCAAAGUAAUACCAAUGUAAUACCCAGUGUGACACUGACGUCGGCGGUAACGUUCAAACUGAACUUAAAACCGAAGACAUCCAUACCUGAGCUAAGAGGAGAGGUAUCCAAAGAUGGAGAGACUUAAGGAUAAGGACAACGGUGUAUUAAUGUAGGAAAUAAAAACCCCGCCUUUAGUUACAUAUCUAGAUAACAAAGAGACAUGUUCGUGUACGAUAUAUAAACAAAAACCUGAUUAAGAAGGUAACAAAAGAACGAUUAAACUUUAAUAGGUUGGAAAAUAUAAAAGUGAACGUAUCUACCGAAUUAGAUCUUGGACCUGGCUACUGAUACAUAUUGCGUACGUAACCCAGCAAAGAGGAUUCUUCUAAUUUGUUGGACUUGAAAAUUGAACUCGAGGUUUCUUCAACAACUUACUAGAUCGUAAAAACCCAAAAAUGAUUCGACUUUUUACAUCGUGACACUGUUAUUAUAAGACUUGAAUUUAGAAAGUAAAAGAAUGGUGUAAAAAUGUUAACACGUGAACCUACUACCACUGUAAUAAAGAAUAGACUUAAGACGUGCGUACAAAGGUUAACUUUGUCAUUGACUUUAACUAUUCAUACGUUGUCAAAGACGGGACGUCGUACCGAUUUUACAACACUCAAUGAUGAAGUCUAUUCAUUGGUGGCAUAAUAAAAGACACACAUUAACUGUACAUGUCUACAACAGGGAGGCGGACUGUUGUUAGAUAUCCAUACGUCCAUGACAGAUUAUGGAUGUGUGUUCGAAGAGAGUGUCUAACUGAGGAGACUAACACUGAGUCGUACACACACCGGCACUACGUCUGGAAUAGAACCGGACUCGAAGUUAAGGGAAUACACUAUGCUAACCGUCGAGAAAAGAAGAUCUAUAUAACCAAAGACGUCCAAGGUAACCUAGAACGGAAACUCACUAUGCUAUCGAGUUACCGUACGAGUGGUCAACAACAGGACAGUUUUACCGUUUGACCGAGUUGAAAUAAAGGAUACACAUAAUGUCUCAUGAUCUACACUAAUGAAAUAAAGAUCGUGACCGUUAAAAGAUUCGUAAUACAAAAAAUUCUGCGACUCCAGAGGCUACUAAUCAAUACGAAACACUCUAAAUACGCGAAGUAUGUUGGAUCCAUUAAGAGUAAACUAGAAGAAUUAAAGAUUGACUUAUAUCUAUAUAUGACUGUCAUUCCGGCCACGUCAUUUAUCAACCUAUUAAGAAACUGUACAGCAUGAGAUUGCAAACAAAUUUAGUCGUAACCUAUGAGGGUACUAGCUAAUGAGAAACGUAUUAUUUAAUUAUGUUAUUCUUCACAUAACCAAGAAGUCACAAACGUCCGUCUUUUACUAAAUUUAUAUCUGUGUCACUCGACGUAUGACGUUAUUGUCGGUUAACGGUCUGUCCUAAUGUAACUAGUUUCUUUCGUGACAAACCUAUCUCUUUUCUAGUACCAGUUGUUAACCACGAACUCCUUUACCCAUAUAUACCAAUAUUCCAACGCCCUUCAACAUAUACUGGCCUCGUUCAACAUUAAAGAGAAGGUCUUAAUAGAUUCGAUUCUCAAAGUAAAUCGAAGUAUCAACACGAAAUAAAGGACCCUGUUGUGCGGGAAUUACAUGUACAGUAACACAGGACCUUGUAAUUAAGUAUUUUUUAUCGUUGAAGUUUAAUUUUAAAAUUAUAGAUUAUGUAACCACUGGG
Molecule: ribosomal RNA, 2227 nt
Filed under: Triticum aestivum (bread wheat)
Lineage: Eukaryota; Viridiplantae; Streptophyta; Magnoliopsida; Poales; Poaceae
Description: partial small subunit ribosomal RNA
Source: RNAcentral